Molecule: long non-coding RNA, 1693 nt
Filed under: Gossypium raimondii (Peruvian cotton)
Lineage: Eukaryota; Viridiplantae; Streptophyta; Magnoliopsida; Malvales; Malvaceae
Description: long non-coding RNA (GRAI_LNC010804)
Source: RNAcentral
UUGUCGAUUAGGUUCUUUUUUGAAUACCUAAGUUCCAUCUUUCAGUUUCCUCCUUUUUCGUUUUCUGAGUCUUGCUUCCUUUCUUCCUCGGGUAACUUAUCAAUUUUCCCAGGUAAUCUUUUAAUUUUCUCUCUUUCCUUUAUUUCCCAAACAAUGGUCAGAGUCAAAGACAAUCAUCAUGAGGGUGGGAGGAAUCACGACGGUCACAGUUGAAGGGGCUGUGGGGUGGUGCUACAGUGGGUGAUGGGGCUAGACCCAAUAGUUGAGAGGUAAGUGCCAUAUUGGAGAGUCCUUUCUUCCAAUGCUCAACAACUAGAGACGAGUUCGUCAAACAUCUGGGUGUUAGAGGGAUACAAUUGCCCAAUUUCGCUUAUGAAUUCAGCAUAGUUCAUGGCGAGUGCCGACUGAGUGACAGUACUAAUGGUAUCAUUCUUCCCUUCUAUCUUUUCGAGGCUGGGUUUCACCUCCCGCUACACCCAUUCUUCUGUACAGUGCUGAAUGAAUAUGGAAUUUCAUUGGGACAACUUGUUGGUCUAUCCUGGUGGACUUUGAUUGCUUACUUCAUCGAUUGUAGUCUGAGGAAUUAGCCACCCAUUCUUGGUGUAUUCCAAUGGAUCUAUCAAUUGAAGGUUACCACUUAUGGUGCCACUGUGGGGAUGGGACACUUCAGUACUCACCAAGGACGCGAGUCAAUAGUUACGAACUGGGCCUCCAACCUUCAUCUCAAUAGGAAUAAAUUUAUUCAGGUAAGGAGUAGGCUGAGGGGUGGUUUUGGCUUCCCGAUACAGUGGUCCAUCCCUCAAGAGUCCGUCUGUACCUGCAAGCAGCCAUUCAAUAAUGAGGCUGCUAAGGAUCAGUUCAUUCACCUGAACUUGGGCCGUUUAUUGUGCUAGAGGAGCUCAUCACCGUCAGAGACAUCUUCCAUUUCUACUUGGAGAAUUAGGGCCCGAAUGGCUGUAGACCUGUGGAUAUUGCGGUUGGGGCUGAUCCCCAAGUAAUACCAUCCACCGAAAAGGCAUGGCCCUACAACGCCAUUAAUGAUUUGGCCGUCAUUUUGGUAGGAAGGAAAGAUGAACCCCCACACCUCUUCUACACCAUUUGCAAGCUACGCGUACAACGCUGGUCUUCCUCGCCAACAGUUGUCAUAGGUGGGUCUUCUGGUAGGGACUUGGUUCCUAGUGGGGUUGACACUAAUCUUACUGUUGCAGGGCUCUACUCAUUCUUCAACCCCAACCCAAUCCUCUCAGCUCGAUGAUAUGGAUGUGGAGGCACUAAUGGAGAGGGCACAAUAGGCCGUUGCAGCGGCUGAUGCAUGGGAUCAGGUGGGAAGUAGUAUCCGUUAAAAGCUAAUGGCUGAAGAGAGCUCGCAAAGCACCAGGGAGAGUAGUGGCAGCAGACUGGUUCAUCGUAGGCGAGGCAAAGAAUCAGUUGAUCGCCUCCAAAUGUACUAACGUCCAGGGUGUAAAUACUGCUACGAAAAAUAUUGAAUUAAGGCGAUGUCUGCAAGUAUACGGGUUAGGUUGUAAUAUAGUUUUUAUAACAAAGUAAGUGGGUACUCCGAUGAUCGUACCGAAUGAAGGCGAGUACUAGGCGAGAUUCUAAUUAGUACUGUAAACAAAUUAUAUUACGACAACAUAUAAAGUGAAAAAUAUGUGUUUUUAUAAUAAAAUAAAUAAUCAUGCAUAAAAGGAUG